CCUAACAAGUCCGGAAUCUUGGAGUGAGAUAAAUAUAGGCAUGUGUGACUUAACUGCUUUAUUCUUCAUCGGUUACUGUAAUGUGUGUGUGGGGAGGGAACUCCAGCAAUACUGUCAGUCACUUUAAUCUAUGAAUUCCUGUGUAUUCUUCAUACCAAAACAGCAGAUUUCCUCUGUACAUUUAUGUAACUGUAUGAACUAUCCAGAUUUUAGUAAACCUAAUAUGUCAGUAUAAAGGCAGUUAUUACUCUAAAACAUUAAGACAGCUGUAAGAGGAUGUGCUUCAACAUAUUCUUAGAGUAUAUCUAAAAAAAGCUUUUAGAUAUAGGUAUUAAUUUAAUUAUACUUGUAAAAUGUAGGAAUAGAACUAAGAAUGAUGUGAUACCAAGUCCUGCCUUUGGUCAACAAAAUAGUGUCUGCAGUCAGAUUAUGGCUCUUGCAUCAUAACAGAUUUCUUUGGAUUUUAUUAGAAAAAUUCCCACAACUGCAAUGUGUGCUUAUGCAUAGUUUCAAUUAGAACAAUACCUGGGCCUUUUUUAUGUAUUAGGAAACCACAAUCCUCAUGAACAGCUGCUGACAGUUUGGGGGAGCUCAGCUGAGAAGAUAGAGAGGGCAUGAUCAGACAGCUGCAGCAGGAGCUUGCUGAUGCUCUCAAAAAGCAAUCUGUGUCAGAAGCUUCACUGGAAGUUACUACGCGCUACCGCAGUGACCUGGAGGAAGACAAGCUGUGCUUGCAAAAGGAAUUGGAAAAGGCUAAAACCAAGUUGCGGGAGGUGGAAGAGAAAUAUCUUCAGUCCGAGUGUUGUGUUCGUGAUUUGAAGACUGCAUUGGAUGAUAAGGAAAGAGAAGCAACAGCUUCUGCCCAGAAGCUGCAAGACCAGCUGUUGGCAUCUUCUAAGACUAACACUACUAUAAAACAACUGGAAGAACAUGUGCAACAGUAAGAGAACACAGUGGGGCGAGUUAUCUGUCACUUGCAGGGAUUGGCUGGAAACCACAGCAUAGACAGGUAGUCUUGUUUCAUCACAGCAAAUAAUAAAGAUUUUGAAGAAUGUUCUUGUAUUUUAUUAUUUUGCACUCUUCUUUUGGAAUUUUUCUCUGGCAGAUUUUUGUAAUAAGACCUGUAUUUCUUUUAAAGCCUUGAAAUUGAAAACACCAAAUUGGAAGCCACUGUCCAGCAACAAAGCAACAGGAUUGAAGCCCUGCAGGGGGACCUGCAAGCCUCUGCGCCAGUAAGCUGCUCAUAAAUUUCCCUUUUGGUGACUUCUGAGCCUAGUACCUAUUUCUGUGGGGAAAUGUUAUGGUGAGGAUUUCCUGGAGAGCCAAGGGGAGCUCACUUCCUGCAUUUUUCUGAAUGGAGCCUGCUCUACUUCCCAGCCAUCCAGUUUUGAAAAUUUUCCUGUGCUGUAGCAAAUACUCUAAAAGGUUCAUAACCGCCUGGAAGACUUGAUAAUGAACUUAUAGACAGCACAGGCAGCUGCAGAAGACCACCACAAGCAGGUGCAAAAGCAGAAUAUGCUGACUCUGACAUCAAAGGACUUGCAAAGCAUGUGGGAAGCGCAGUUUAAUUCAAGAUCCAACCUCAAAGAGCGUGUUGCUCAACUUGACAGGGAAAAGGCAGAUCUCAUUGAAGAGGUUGCUGAACUUUCCCAGCAGCUGAACAUGGAGUCUAAAAAAAUCAUGCAGCUAGAAGCACAAAACCGGGAUCUGCGAGAAGAGCUGUCUACCUUGCAUGGGAACUGUGAAAAACCAGAGAAGAGCAAAUGCCAGCUGAAAAAAGAGAUGGCAAAACUUCAGCAUCACUUGGAGACUAACAUGGUGGAUCACAGCCAAAUAGAACAGUAUAAAAGAGAGGCUGAUGAAUGAGCAAGCCAAGAAAUAUGACAAAAACUGCAAGAAGUCAAUCUGUU
Oenanthe melanoleuca is the source of this 1910-nucleotide long non-coding RNA. RefSeq lists it as uncharacterized. The transcript is spliced from 6 exons. The record is from RefSeq and is a predicted model, not a curated record. NCBI's taxonomy places the organism in Eukaryota, Metazoa, Chordata, Aves, Passeriformes, Muscicapidae.